GUAGUCAUAUGCUUGUCUCAAAGAUUAAGCCAUGCAUGUCUAAGUAUAAGCAAUUAUACAGCGAAACUGCGAAUGGCUCAUUAUAUAAGUUAUCGUUUAUUUGAUAGUACCUUACUACUUGGAUAACCGUGGUAAUUCUAGAGCUAAUACAUGCUGAAAAUCCCGACUUCGGAAGGGAGGUAUUUAUUAGAUUAAAAACCAAUGCCCUCUGGGCUCCUUGGUGAUUCAUAAUAACUUUUCGAAUCGCACGGCCUUGCGCCGGCGAUGGUUCAUUCAAAUUUCUUCCCUAUCAACUUUCGAUGUUUGGGUAUUGGCCAAACAUGGUCGCAACGGGUAACGGAGGGUUAGGGCUCGACCCCGGAGAAGGAGCCUGAGAAACGGCUACUACAUCCAAGGAAGGCAGCAGGCACGCAAAUUACCCAAUCCCGAUUCGGGGAGGUAGUGACAAUAAAUACUGAUACAGGGCUCUUUUGGGUCUUGUAAUUGGAAUGAGUACAAUUUAAAUCUCUUAACGAGGAACAAUUGGAGGGCAAGUCUGGUGCCAGCAGCCGCGGUAAUUCCAGCUCCAAUAGCGUAUAUUAAAGUUGUUGUGGUUAAAAAGCUCGUAGUUGAACCUUGGGCCUGGCUGGCCGGUCCGCCUCACCGCGUGUACUGGUCCGGCCGGGCCUUUCCCUCUGUGGAACCUCAUGCCCUUCACUGGGUGUGGCGGGGAAACAGGACUUUUACUUUGAAAAAAUUAGAGUGCUCCAGGCAGGCCUAUGCUCGAAUACAUUAGCAUGGAAUAAUAAAAUAGGACGCGUGGUUCUAUUUUGUUGGUUUCUAGGACCGCCGUAAUGAUUAAUAGGGACAGUCGGGGGCAUCAGUAUUCAAUUGUCAGAGGUGAAAUUCUUAGAUUUAUUGAAGACUAACUACUGCGAAAGCAUUUGCCAAGGAUGUUUUCAUUAAUCAGGAACGAAAGUUAGGGGAUCGAAGACGAUCAGAUACCGUCGUAGUCUUAACCAUAAACUAUGCCGACUAGGGAUCGGACGAUGUUAUUUUUUGACGCGUUCGGCACCUUACGAGAAAUCAAAGUGCUUGGGCUCCAGGGGGAGUAUGGUCGCAAGGCUGAAACUUAAAGAAAUUGACGGAAGGGCACCACCAGGGGUAAACCGCUUCAUGCAGCCGCAGUAGCUCUGCUCCCAAAAGCAGCCCGAAAGGGUCAGUGGUGUUCCUGUCCGCGCUCCGGCGCGGCGAACCAAGUGCUAGUCUCUCCGGAGGCGACACCCUCAAAUUGCGGGAAACUUCUAAAACCAGUGUCACCAAGCCGGCGUCGAAAAGGCGUCGGUGGCCGGGGCAAUGACCUAGGGUACGGUAAAAGCACACUGGAUAUAUGGACAAUCCGCAGCCAAGCCUCGUCACGGGGAAGGUUCAGAGACUAAAUGGGGGUGGGUAGUGUGCUGGAGGAUUCGUCCUCCGAGCGCUCGCUCACACACUGCUUAAGAUAUAGUCCGCCCGCGCUGGAAACAGCGCGGAUUGGCAAGCUCAAAUAAACGGGAGCCUGCGGCUUAAUUUGACUCAACACGGGGAAACUCACCAGGUCCAGACACAAUGAGGAUUGACAGAUUGAGAGCUCUUUCUUGAUUUUGUGGGUGGUGGUGCAUGGCCGUUCUUAGUUGGUGGAGUGAUUUGUCUGCUUAAUUGCGAUAACGAACGAGACCUUAACCUGCUAAAUAGCCUGUAUUGCUUUGGCAGUACGCCGGCUUCUUAGAGGGACUAUCGGCUCAAGCCGAUGGAAGUUUGAGGCAAUAACAGGUCUGUGAUGCCCUUAGAUGUUCUGGGCCGCACGCGCGCUACACUGACGGAGCCAGCGAGUACUUCCUUGGCCGAAAGGCCCGGGUAAUCUUGUGAAACUCCGUCGUGCUGGGGAUAGAGCAUUGCAAUUAUUGCUCUUCAACGAGGAAUCCCUAGUAAGCGCAAGUCAUCAGCUUGCGUUGAUUACGUCCCUGCCCUUUGUACACACCGCCCGUCGCUACUACCGAUUGAAUGGCUCAGUGAGGCGUCCGGACUGGCCCAGGGAGGUGGGCAACUACCCCCCAGGGCCGGAAAGCUCUCCAAACUCGGUCAUUUAGAGGAAGUAAAAGUCGUAACAAGGUCUCCGUUGGUGAACCAGCGGAGGGAUCAUUA
This 2163-nucleotide ribosomal RNA is filed under the name Beauveria bassiana. RNAcentral describes it as "SSU rRNA". It matches the Rfam family "Eukaryotic small subunit ribosomal RNA". The record is from RNAcentral. Lineage: Eukaryota; Fungi; Ascomycota; Sordariomycetes; Hypocreales; Cordycipitaceae.